RNAcentral lists this ribosomal RNA (253 nucleotides) under uncultured bacterium. RNAcentral describes it as "partial 16S ribosomal RNA". It matches the Rfam family "Bacterial small subunit ribosomal RNA", at positions 524 to 776 of the family's 1533-position model. The record is from RNAcentral.
UACGUAGGUGGCAAGCGUUGUCCGGAAUUACUGGGCGUAAAGGGUGCGUAGGCGGGUAUUAAAGUCAGGUGUGAAAUCCUCCGGCUUAACUGGAGGGCUGCACUUGAAACUUAAUAUCUUGAGUGGGGUAGAGGUAAGUGGAAUUCCCGGUGUAGAGGUAAAAUUCGUAGAUAUCGGGAGGAACACCAGUGGCGAAGGCGACUUACUGGGCCCUAACUGACGCUGAGGCACGAAAGCAUGGGGAGCAAACAGG